GUCCCACUCUUAGCGACCCCAUGGAUUGCAGCCCACCGGGCUCCUCCGCCCAUGGGACUUUCCAGGAUGGGCAUGCCUGAGCAUUGUCGCUACACCACUCUUGGCAUCUGGAGCCAACCUUGAAAUGGGUGGCAUUGACCUUGGAGGGCCGUCCACUGCUCCUCAUCACCUCCCAUGAAACAUAGCUGACUACAGCCACUUCACCCAGUUUCCAGCGAUGCCCACCACUUCCAAGGUUGAUCCUGGGGGCACAACAGAUUCACUACGUGGAUCCUCUGUGAACCAAGAAUAAGGUGGCUGCUUGGCAUGGUGGGCAAGUCUGUGGGUGUCAGCAGGUGGUACUUACUUUCAACUAAUCACCAUGGGAACCAGGGACUGUACAAAGCAUUAGAAUUGGGUAACAGUUAAGUACUCAGAAAUUUCUCAGGAGGAAGUUGAUCUUUCUGUACCCUUGUUUGUAGUGGAUGACUAAGAAACAGGAAAUGUUGUAGAAGGAGAAAAUGGCAAGAAAAGAAAAGUUCAGAGAAGAGUAACUUCUUUUAUCUUUAAAAAAAUUCAUAAAAACAGCAGUUUACCCUUUGGAAUGGAAACUUUUUGUUAAUUGUUCUAGACUCAUUAAAAUUCAUGAUUUUAAGUAUG
Molecule: long non-coding RNA, 639 nt
Organism: Bubalus bubalis (water buffalo)
Lineage: Eukaryota; Metazoa; Chordata; Mammalia; Artiodactyla; Bovidae
Exons: 2
Source: RefSeq, a predicted model, not a curated record